AAACAGACCAAAAGAAACAGUAGUGCUGUAUAUCCGUUUUAAAUCGCUGUUUAUCUUUGCUGACGGGGUAUCGAGUCCUUUCAGCGUGCGCUCAGGAUCGGCCAGGGUCGGCCAGGAUCGAUUCAAGCGUCUAUACAUGACUAUUAACCGACGGAACCGUCACAUAGGACUUGCAUCUGCUGUUGUAGCUUACAAUGUUUGUGGUCUUCGAUAGCAGGACUAACUCAAUAGAGACAGCCGUUUUCUGAUGAAAUAAAACGAGGAAGCAGAAUUUGAAAGGACGUACAUUGCUGCAUUUAUUGGAUGUGAUAUUCAGCUAUCGAAAAAGUUGGUAGAUUGCCGUAUAAUGUUGGUGCCGCUCUCUGUGUGCUUGAGGAACCUGAUGCUGGAAUGAACCCAAUGCUACCAUCAUCGCUCACUGGUUCGGAUGCACAAUGUUGGUCAGCUCCAAGAACCUCUUUAUCUUCGUGAGCCUUUAGCUGUAAUUUGAGUUGCUCGAUCAGCACUUUCCCUGCUUCCAACUCCUCAGAUAGAGCUUUCACUUUUUCACUCAGUACGGAAUGCGUGCUUUCUUGUACGCCAUCACUCGACGUUUGCUUAAACGAAGCAGUUUGGGCACGUGGGAUAGACCGCUUUGAUUUUAACUUUUUGGACGAUUUUUUGCUGUAAACCAAGGUAAAGUACAUUACUUUUUUUUUACCGUGUAUAUAUAUAUUUAUAUAUAUUUUUUUUUAAUCACUAAAUUCUGUCGUUACUCGGCACUAUCUUAUACUAAAUCUUAACGAUAUUCUACACUAAAAGAUAUGUCAAUAUGCCAAGAAAUCUGCCGUCUAGUUUUUGUUUCAGACCUUCCACAAUCAUUUAGUAUUUCUUUUUGUAAUUCACUCUUUUUUUUUUUUUUUUUUCAAGCAAUUAUUGUCGUCGCUUUGCCUUUCGAAAGCCAAAAAAAUACCCGAUUUUAUCAAGUUACGUCUUCAACACCUUAGGUUGAUCUGCUUUUUCAAGUUUGCAAGUAAAAAUUAAAGAUUGCCUUCUUUUUUUUUGUCAAGCUUGGCCUUGCGCAAGCUAAUAAGAUUCCUCAGACUUGGCCUUAUCGCAAGUGGGAAAUUUACUAUUCUUUUUUUCUGACUUGGCCUCAAGCAAGCUAAUAAAGUUCCUCAGACUUGGCCUUAUCGCAAGCGGGAAAUUAUCUAUUCCUUUUUUUUCAAGCUUGACCUCGUGCAAGCUAAUAAAGUUCCUCAGACUUGGCCAUAUCACAAGUGGGAAAUAUGCACUCCAAAUGGUUACUAUAGGAGCCACUUUGGAACUCAUGCGACUUCUUUGUAAAAACCGUUCCAUUUCAUUUUUUUUUCGAAAUACUCACCAUUCUGCUGCGCCAAUGUGGUGUUUCCGCCCAUCCAUUUUCGGCUGGUUGGUUUUCUUAAAAUUUGCAGAACUGUAUGUUUCAGAACCUUCUGGCACAAGAAUAGAAUACUGAAUGAGUCUUUUCUUUCGCACGUGGUGCAUUUUGGUCUGACAUGCCUACUUCGAUCAUAUUUCAAAAUUACUUCAAAUUUUAAAACUUGAAAUUCAAAUUUGCUAUAAUUGCUAUAAUUUAUUAUAGUGGUUUGUGUAUCGGCUCAAUCUUAUGGUAUGCUUAUAUUAUUCAAACGGAAUAAUAACAUCGCAGUUUUAUUUACACUGUUAAUAUUUUUUUUUGCUUUAGGUUAUUAUACAGAAUUUUAAAUCUUGCUUAUAAACAGAUAUCCUAUAUACCUAAUAUACAAUUAUUUUAGUAUUUAUUAUAAAUCAUGUCCAG
This is a long non-coding RNA of Armigeres subalbatus, 1798 nucleotides long. RefSeq lists it as uncharacterized. The record is from RefSeq and is a predicted model, not a curated record. The transcript is spliced from 3 exons. NCBI's taxonomy places the organism in Eukaryota, Metazoa, Arthropoda, Insecta, Diptera, Culicidae.